RNAcentral lists this ribosomal RNA (253 nucleotides) under uncultured bacterium. Its description in RNAcentral is "partial 16S ribosomal RNA". It matches the Rfam family "Bacterial small subunit ribosomal RNA", at positions 524 to 776 of the family's 1533-position model. The record is from RNAcentral.
UACAGAGGGUGCAAGCGUUAAUCGGAAUUACUGGGCGUAAAGCGUGCGUAGACGGUUAUGUAAGUCAGGUGUGAAAGCCCCGGGCUCAACCUGGGAAUUGCAUUUGAGACUGCAUAGCUAGGGUGCGGAAGAGGGAAGCGGAAUUUCCGGUGUAGCGGUGAAAUGCGUAGAUAUCGGAAGGAACACCAGUGGCGAAAGCGGCUUCCUGGUCCAGCACCGACGUUCAGGCACGAAAGCGUGGGGAGCAAACAGG